Molecule: long non-coding RNA, 387 nt
Organism: Ornithodoros turicata
Lineage: Eukaryota; Metazoa; Arthropoda; Arachnida; Ixodida; Argasidae
Exons: 3
Source: RefSeq, a predicted model, not a curated record
GAAUGGGUGUCGGAUGUAACCCAACAAGGACGGCAGCAGCAAUGCGAGAACAGCUCGCAAACUACUUCACUACAGAUGGCAGAGUACCGUGGCAAGACAAGUACAUCUUGAGGGCAUAGGGGAUACUGACACGUCAGUUCGCAGGUGCCGAGGCAGCUCCUUGAGCCUCCAACCAAUGGCUAUCCCGUGGCUCAUGCAAAUGUCGUCCCCUUUCUGGUGCAGACUAUCCAACUUCGUUGCACAGACAUCCAGCGUCUUCUGAAUUGUGUCAUCCAUAUCCAUGUCACCAGUAGCCUUCUCUUUCCUGACAAGUGUUUCACAUCUCGUGGAGUACACGACACCACUUUCUCUGCAUCACAUCAUUCUCAGUGUGUUACCUUUGUGCAU